CUCCACUCUUAAACAGGAAACACGUGACCUCCACUCUCAAACAGGAAACACGUCCCAUCCACUUGGAUUGACGAGACGAGGAUAGCGAUUAUAAUUCAGGACUAGGAUUAUCACAGAAGAUGCAGAACCCUCUACAUUUUAAAGGCCAAAUUUUACAGAGGUGCAGAUUACCAUGCCGUGCUGCGGGGCAUUACCACUGCCCCUACUGUUCACGCACUGUAACAAGACGAGUGGACAUGGAAAGGCAUUUGGUCCUGUGUUACAGUCAACUGACCUCACAGUCUACAGAGCCUGAUCUGCCUUGUGCCACCCCAUCAGCGAAGCCUGACCUGCCUUGUGCCACCCCAUCAGCGAAGCCUGACCUGCCCUGGCCACCCCAUCAGCGAAGCCUGAUCUGCCAUGUGCCACCCCAUCAGGAGAGCCAAUCCUGACUCAUGCCACUCCAUCAGCAAGGCCUGUCCUGGCUUGUGCCACUCCAUCAGAAGAGCCUGUCCUGAUUUGUGCCACUACAUCAGAAGAGCCUGUCCUGACUUGUGCCACUCCGUCAGCAUCAGAGCCUGUCCUGACUCGUGCCACUCCAUUACAAGACCACUCGUAUGCAUGACAACCGGUGCAGGGGGCAGCAGAGGUUUAUGGAAUGUCUGUCAUAUGUCCCCACUGCAAUCUUUAGUCUCCUUAAGAAGAAUUAUAACACACACCUUUUGAGGAGACAUUCAGAUUUUUCUCAUGACAUCACUCAGAACUGUCAUCUACAGAGCGUUGCUAUUGAUGAGACAAAUGGCAUAUUUGGCGUGCAAAAAACUGGACAUGGAUUUUCUGUGCCAAUUCAUGUCCAGAGAAAAACAUGGGGAAAAAUACACCAGGUUCGAUGUGAGCUAGAAGAAUGUAUGCAGUAUCAGUUGUUGGCUCAGCGGAGUGGAUUAAGCUACAGUUUGUGCUCUCACAUUCGCUCAGUCGACUACUGUCAAGAAACGGCUGCAGAGACAUUUCUGAAAGAAGACAUCCUUAGGGAUAUGAUAACAUUCAGAUUUUUUGGAGAGGCAAAGGCAGCCAUAUGUGUAAAGAGGCAAAAUGUUGCUUGUGCAGUGCAUGUUCCUCUUUGUGUGCCUGUGGACUUUGGUGGAUCUCCAUCACAAAUAUGCUUGUCAAUCCAUGAGCCUGACAUUCAUAGUUUUUGCCGACUUGGAAGAAUAAUGGUCACAUACAACACGCAAAAGAACACCUGGCAUUGUCCCUGCACCAAACCACGGACAUCUUGUCCACAUAUACACGUCUCAAAGUG
Long non-coding RNA from Paramisgurnus dabryanus, 1282 nucleotides. RefSeq lists it as uncharacterized. Lineage: Eukaryota; Metazoa; Chordata; Actinopteri; Cypriniformes; Cobitidae. The record is from RefSeq and is a predicted model, not a curated record.